This is an unclassified non-coding RNA of Macaca fascicularis (crab-eating macaque), 220 nucleotides long. It matches the Rfam family "Metazoan signal recognition particle RNA". Rfam says of the family: The signal recognition particle (SRP) is a universally conserved ribonucleoprotein. The record is from Ensembl. Lineage: Eukaryota; Metazoa; Chordata; Mammalia; Primates; Cercopithecidae.
GUUGGAAGAGAUCUUUAGAACAGCUGGUCAUUAUGCUGACCGGGUGCCUGCACUAAGUUCGGCAUCAAUAUGGUGACCUCCUGGGAGCGGUGGGGCCACCAAGUUGCCUAAGGAUGGCUGAACUGGCCCAGGUCAGAAAUGGAGCAGGUCAGAACUCCCACACCGACUGGUAGUGGGACUGGGCCUGGGCGGUAUAGCAAGAUCUUGGGUCUUAAAAAUA